CAGUUUUUUUGCUCUUAUGUGAUCUGCAAAUAUUGGCCAUAUCUGCAGAGAGUUGUGGACCACUGUCCAGAGUUGGAGGACUUGCUGAACAUGCGCCCAUUUCUCUCCAUCAUGCAUGCAAAAGCGCAUUCAUGGAUGUGUGAGUUAAAAUGGGGUGGACGCAAUCAAGAAGGAGCUGGAACAACAAUCGGGGAGGAGGUUGAACAGGUUAACAGUUUCCUCUCCAGAGCAGCCAUAUGUUCCAAGUACAUGUCAAAAGCCGACUGUACAAAGGAUCACAGAGGCAUCAAAGGACCUGGAGAAACUCAUCACUGAGUUAUCUCUACAGCAAGACACAGUUCAGCAGUGGGUGGCUGAUGUUCAACAGUGGCCCUCAGGUGGGAAUAAGCGAAGGCAUCAACUGAGAAGACAGAUUGUUGUUGAGAAGAAAGCCUUGGAAGUUGCCAUCAAUGACCACAAUGCUACUGUGGGGGAAGAUGAAAAACUGCCUCCUCCCAAUGAACUCCUGGCUGUGGACAACUACUCCUGGCCAUGGGAAUGUCAUGGUGAUAUGGAGCAGAAAAAAAAUGUU
Molecule: long non-coding RNA, 571 nt
Organism: Etheostoma cragini (Arkansas darter)
Lineage: Eukaryota; Metazoa; Chordata; Actinopteri; Perciformes; Percidae
Exons: 5
Source: RefSeq, a predicted model, not a curated record